This 471-nucleotide ribosomal RNA is filed under the name uncultured bacterium. Its description in RNAcentral is "partial 16S ribosomal RNA". It matches the Rfam family "Bacterial small subunit ribosomal RNA", at positions 30 to 506 of the family's 1533-position model. The record is from RNAcentral.
AGUGAACGCUGGCGGUAGGCCUAACACAUGCAAGUCGAACGGCAGCACAGUAAGAGCUUGCUCUUACGGGUGGCGAGUGGCGGACGGGUGAGGAAUACAUCGGAAUCUACUUUUUCGUGGGGGAUAACGUAGGGAAACUUACGCUAAUACCGCAUACGACCUACGGGUGAAAGCAGGGGAUCUUCGGACCUUGCGGGAUUGAAUGAGCCGGUGUCGGAUUAGCUUGUGGGCGGGGUAAAGGCCCACCAAGGCGAUGAUGGGUAGCUGGUAUGAGAGGGUGACCGGCCACAGGGGGACUGAGAUACGGCCAGGGCGCCGACGGGAGGCAGGAGUGGGGAAGAGUGCACAAGGGGCGGAAGCCUGAGGGAGCAACGCCGGGUGCGGGAGGACGGCCUUCGGGUGGGAAACAGCUUUCGCCUGUGACGAAGCGUGAGGGACGGUAAUGGGUAAAGAAGCACCGGCUAACUACGU